GUAUGUUCAUUGCAGUUUCUAGUUUUUUGGCUAUAUUACUUGUAGGGAUAACGAUGCUUUCAGAGUCCUGGUGCUUUGAGCAGAAGGUGCAGGAGAAAGGUGACAUGGAAAGAAAAAGAAGUCAGUUUCCCUUGGAGCACCUUCUGUUUGGUGAAAAAAGAUGUGCUGAUGCAAGAGCACAGUCAGAGCUUUCCCAAGGACUACUUUGGUGCUGUGUGAAAAGUCUUCCAGGUUGUUGACAGAAGUACAUUUCUCUUCAUCAAAGAACAUCUGUAUAGCCAUGACCAUGUGGAUUGUCCAUCUUUUCUACUGACAAAAGAUGGAAUUUUCUUUCUAUGAUGGAGAAAGAGUUGAGCUCAGGUAGGAUUAUGUUUUGAUAAUGGGGAAAUUGACUGACGAUGCAGCUUUUAGCUGAAACAUAACAGGGAGAUGUGGUACAACUGUGACUUCUGAUUAAUGGACUUUUAAUGGGAUUCAUAAGACCUUACAGCGUGCCAGAAGAGGAUGGGCUGUCUGCACAGUUCCCCUGUAUAGUGAGUGACUGGAGAUAUGUGCUGUUUGCCUGCUUACUGCACCAGUUAACAAAACCAGUUCUGGUGACUUGCUUUUCUUCUAGAUACAAUAUGUUAAAAGGACAGGUAUCUGCAAGGGCAAAUGUGUUACUGAUAGGAAAGUGAGUUUGUGACCUUUGGCCACAUAAAAGGAAGAGUUUGCAAUAUGCAUGGUGAAGCCACAAAGGAAAGCAAAUUUCUUAAUUGUAUGGUCAGCACUCAAACACCAUUCUGGCUACAAGGGCUGAACCUUGGUUUCUAUGAAAUCAAAGCAGAUGUAUGAACCUCAACAAAUCCUGCGUUCGCCUGUGGAGUUACAGGGAAAUCGGUAUCAUUCUACCACUUGCAUUACUGAUAAGAGACUCUAAGCACAUAGGCAGUGGUGUUAUAUACUCCUUUUGCAGUAUUGAGAUUUCCCUUAUCUUCUUUCUCACACCACAGCAGUGGGAUGAACCACACUUUGCUUUUUUUUUUUCUUUUAAAUAACUUCCAGAGUGAGCCAGUUGCUGUGGUUAGAUGGAUGAAACAUUUCUGAAGUGUCA
Pipra filicauda (Wire-tailed manakin) is the source of this 1093-nucleotide long non-coding RNA. RefSeq lists it as uncharacterized. NCBI's taxonomy places the organism in Eukaryota, Metazoa, Chordata, Aves, Passeriformes, Pipridae. The transcript has 3 exons. The record is from RefSeq and is a predicted model, not a curated record.